RNAcentral lists this unclassified non-coding RNA (267 nucleotides) under Fusariella sp. RNAcentral's name for it is "partial contains 5.8S ribosomal RNA, internal transcribed spacer 2, and large subunit ribosomal RNA". Lineage: Eukaryota; Fungi; Ascomycota; Sordariomycetes; Hypocreales. The record is from RNAcentral.
CGCACAUUGCGCCCGCUAGUAUUCUGGCGGGCAUGCCUGUCUGAGCGUCAUUUCAACCCUCGCGCCUGGCCUCGUGCCGGGGGCGGUGUUGGGGAUCGGCCGCCCGUAACUGGGAGGCCGGCCCCUAAAUGGAGUGGCGACCACGCCGUAGCCUCCUCUGCGUAGUAGUAACUAACCUCGCAGGCGGAGAGCGGUGCGGUCCGCCGUAAAACCCCCAACUCUUCUAAGGUUGACCUCAGAUCAGGUAGGAAUACCCGCUGAACUUAA